AACGCUSGCGGCGUGCCUAAUACAUGCAAGUCGAACGAGUUCUGAUUAUUGAAAGGUGCUUGCAUCUUGAUUUAAUUUUGAACGAGUGGCGGACGGGUGAGUAACACGUGGGUAACCUGCCCUUAAGUGGGGGAUAACAUUUGGAAACAGAUGCUAAUACCGCAUAAAUCCAAGAACCGCAUGGUUCUUGGCUGAAAGAUGGCGUAAGCUAUCGCUUUUGGAUGGACCCGCGGCGUAUUAGCUAGUUGGUGAGGUAACGGCUCACCAAGGCAAUGAUACGUAGCCGAACUGAGAGGUUGAUCGGCCACAUUGGGACUGAGACACGGCCCAAACUCUACGGGAGGCAGCAGUAGGGAAUCUUCCACAAUGGACGCAAGUCUGAUGGAGCAACGCC
This 394-nucleotide ribosomal RNA is filed under the name uncultured Lactobacillus sp. RNAcentral's name for it is "bacterial SSU rRNA". It matches the Rfam family "Bacterial small subunit ribosomal RNA", at positions 32 to 398 of the family's 1533-position model. Lineage: Bacteria; Bacillati; Bacillota; Bacilli; Lactobacillales; Lactobacillaceae. The record is from RNAcentral.